RNAcentral lists this ribosomal RNA (274 nucleotides) under uncultured bacterium. RNAcentral's name for it is "partial 16S ribosomal RNA". It matches the Rfam family "Bacterial small subunit ribosomal RNA", at positions 523 to 796 of the family's 1533-position model. The record is from RNAcentral.
AUACGGAGGGGGCUAGCGUUGUUCGGAAUUACUGGGCGUAAAGCGUACGCAGGCGGAUAUUUAAGUUAGGUGUGAAAUCCCAGGGCUCAACCCUGGAACUGCACUUAAAACUGGGUAUCUAGAGUUAUGGAGAGGUAAGUGGAAUUCCUAGUGUAGAGGUGAAAUUCGUAGAUAUUAGGAGGAACACCAGAGGCGAAGGCGGCUUACUGGACAUAUACUGACGCUGAGGUACGAAAGUGUGGGGAGCAAACGGGAUUAGAAACCCCAGUAGUCC